RNAcentral lists this transfer RNA (87 nucleotides) under Rhodosalinus sediminis. RNAcentral describes it as "tRNA-Leu". It matches the Rfam family "tRNA". Rfam says of the family: Transfer RNA (tRNA) molecules are approximately 80 nucleotides in length. The record is from RNAcentral. Lineage: Bacteria; Pseudomonadati; Pseudomonadota; Alphaproteobacteria; Rhodobacterales; Paracoccaceae.
GCGGGCGUGGUGGAACGGUAGACACAAGCGACUUAAAAUCGCUAGGGCGCAUCGCCCGUGCGGGUUCGAGUCCCGCCGCCCGCACCA